Molecule: ribosomal RNA, 253 nt
Filed under: uncultured bacterium
Lineage: Bacteria
Description: partial 16S ribosomal RNA
Rfam family: Bacterial small subunit ribosomal RNA
Source: RNAcentral
UACGAAGGGGGCUAGCGUUGUUCGGAAUUACUGGGCGUAAAGCGCACGUAGGCGGAUUGUUAAGUUAGGGGUGAAAUCCCGAGGCUCAACCUCGGAACUGCCUUUAAUACUGGCAACCUCGAGUCCGGAAGAGGUGAGUGGAAUUCCCAGUGUAGAGGUGAAAUUCGUAGAUAUUGGGAAGAACACCAGUGGCGAAGGCGGCUCACUGGUCCGGUACUGACGCUGAGGUGCGAAAGCGUGGGGAGCAAACAGG